This 420-nucleotide ribosomal RNA is filed under the name uncultured bacterium. RNAcentral's name for it is "bacterial SSU rRNA". It matches the Rfam family "Bacterial small subunit ribosomal RNA", at positions 104 to 509 of the family's 1533-position model. The record is from RNAcentral.
GGGUGAGUAACACGUGGGUAACCUGCCCGUAAGACCGGGAUAACUCCGGGAAACCGGGGCUAAUACCGGAUAACACCGAAGACCGCAUGGUCUUUGGUUGAAAGGUGGCUUUUGCUACCACUUACGGAUGGGCCCGCGGCGCAUUANCUAGUUGGUGAGGUAACGGCUCACCAAGGCGACGAUGCGUAGCCGGCCUGAGAGGGUGACCGGCCACACUGGGACUGAGACACGGCCCAGACUCCUACGGGAGGCAGCAGUAGGGAAUCUUCCGCAAUGGACGAAAGUCUGACGGAGCGACGCCGCGUGAGCGAAGAAGGUCUUCGGAUCGUAAAGCUCUGUUGUUAGGGAAGAAGAAGUACCGUUCGAAUAGGGCGGUACGGUGACGGUACCUAACGAGAAAGCCCCGGCUAACUACGUGCC